GAUGAAGAACGUAGCGAAAUGCGAUACUUGGUGUGAAUUGCAGAAUCCCGUGAACCAUCGAGUCUUUGAACGCAAGUUGCGCCCGAAGCCAUUAGGCCGAGGGCACGCCUGCCUGGGCGUCACACGUCGUUGCCCCCCCAUCUACUCCUUCGGGAUUGCGGGGGGCGGAUGAUGGCCUCCCGUGCGCCUCGUCGCGCGGUUGGCCUAAAUGCCAAGUCCUCGGCGACGCACGCCACGACAAUCGGUGGUUGCGAAACCUCGGUUGCCUGUCGUGUGCGGUCGUCGCGCAUCGAGGGCUCGAAAAAAUUGCCGGGCUUCGGCUCGACUUUCAACGCGACCCCAGGUCAGGCGGGGUUACCCACUGAAUUUAAGCAUAUCAAUAAGCGGAGGA
Molecule: unclassified non-coding RNA, 391 nt
Filed under: soil metagenome
Description: partial contains 5.8S ribosomal RNA, internal transcribed spacer 2, and large subunit ribosomal RNA
Rfam family: 5.8S ribosomal RNA (bases 1-122)
Source: RNAcentral